AACCGGCGCACGGGUGAGUAACACGUGGAUAACCUGCCUUUGAGACUGGGAUAACCCGUCGAAAGACGGACUAAUACCAGAUAAGACCACGGGGAGUUCGCUUCCUGGGGUAAAAGGUGGCCUCUGCUCCUGCAAGCUAUCACUCAUUGAGGGGUCCGCGCCCUAUCAGCUAGUUGGUGAGGUAACGGCUCACCAAGGCUAAGACGGGUAGCUGGUCUGAGAGGAUGGUCAGCCACACUGGGACUGAGACACGGCUCAGAGUCCUACGGGAUGCAGCAGUCAGGAAUAUUGCGCAAUGGAGGAAACUCUGACGCAGCGACGCCGCGUGGGUGAUGAAGGCCUUCGGGUCGUAAAGCCCUGUCGGAGGGGAAGAAAAGUUUGCUGGCUAAUAUCCAGCAGACCCUUGACGGUACCCUCAAAGGAAGCACCGGCUAACUCCGUGCCAGCAGCCGCGGUAAGACGGAGGGUGCUAGCGUUGUUCGGAUUGACUGGGCGUAAAGGGCGUGUAGGCGGUUGGCCCAGUCCGGUGUGAAAGCCCGGGGCUUAGCCUCGGAAGUGCAUCGGAAACUAGCCGACUGGAGCGCGAUAGAGGAGGGUGGAAUUCCUGGUGUAGCGGUGAAAUGCGUAGAUAUCAGGAGGAACACCGGCGGCGAAGGCGGCCCUCUGGAUCGUUGC
RNAcentral lists this ribosomal RNA (675 nucleotides) under uncultured bacterium. RNAcentral's name for it is "bacterial SSU rRNA". It matches the Rfam family "Bacterial small subunit ribosomal RNA", at positions 93 to 740 of the family's 1533-position model. The record is from RNAcentral.